This 403-nucleotide ribosomal RNA is filed under the name uncultured Hyphomicrobiales bacterium. RNAcentral describes it as "bacterial SSU rRNA". It matches the Rfam family "Bacterial small subunit ribosomal RNA", at positions 356 to 774 of the family's 1533-position model. Lineage: Bacteria; Pseudomonadati; Pseudomonadota; Alphaproteobacteria; Hyphomicrobiales. The record is from RNAcentral.
GGGGAAUAUUGCGCAAUGGGGGAAACCCUCACGCAGCAAUACCGCGUGAGUGAAGAAGGUUUUCGGAUCGUAAAGCUCUGUUAUUGGGGAGGAAAAAAAGACGGUACCCAAGAAGAAAGUCCCGGCUAACUACGUGCCAGCAGCCGCGGUAAUACGAAGGGGGCUAGCGUUGCUCGGAAUCACUGGGCGUAAAGCGCACGUAGGCGGAUCGUUAAGUCAGGGGUGAAAUCCUGGGGCUCAACCUCAGAACUGCCCUUGAUACUGGCGAUCUCGAGUUCGAGAGAGGUUGGUGGAACUCCGAGUGUAGAGGUGAAAUUCGUAGAUAUUCGGAAGAACACCAGUGGCGAAGGCGGCCAACUGGCUCGAUACUGACGCUGAGGUGCGAAAGCGUGGGGAGCAAACA